Nematocida parisii ERTm3 is the source of this 73-nucleotide transfer RNA. It matches the Rfam family "tRNA". Rfam says of the family: Transfer RNA (tRNA) molecules are approximately 80 nucleotides in length. Their secondary structure includes four short double-helical elements and three loops (D, anti-codon, and T loops). NCBI's taxonomy places the organism in Eukaryota, Fungi, Microsporidia. The record is from Rfam.
ACCCGGUUAGCUCAGUCGGUAGAGCAUUGGACUUUUAAUCCAAGGGUCGCGGGUUCGAGUCCCGUAUCGGGUG